This 40-nucleotide ribosomal RNA is filed under the name Symbiodinium sp. RNAcentral describes it as "partial 18S ribosomal RNA". RNAcentral also lists the same sequence under 1 other name. The record is from RNAcentral. Lineage: Eukaryota; Dinophyceae; Suessiales; Symbiodiniaceae.
GGGAUCCGUUUCCGUAGGUGAACCUGCGGAAGGAUCAUUC